Molecule: ribosomal RNA, 415 nt
Filed under: uncultured Thermoplasmata archaeon
Lineage: Archaea; Methanobacteriati; Thermoplasmatota; Thermoplasmata
Description: partial 16S ribosomal RNA
Rfam family: Archaeal small subunit ribosomal RNA
Source: RNAcentral
GUGCAGCAGUCGCGAAAACUUCACAAUGGGAGCAAUCCCGAUGAGGGAAUUCCAAGUGCCAACACACUGUGUUGGCUGUUCUCCUGUCUAAAAAGCAGGAGAAGUAAGGGCCGGGUAAGACGGGUGCCAGCCGCCGCGGUAAUACCCGCGGCCCGAGUGGUGGUCGAUAUUAUUGAGCCUAAAACGUCCGUAGCCGGUCUCGUAAAUCCCUGGGUAAAUCGGCCAGCUUAACUGUCCGAAUUACGGGGAGACUGCGGGACUUGGGACCGGGAGAGGUCAGAGGUACGUCCGGGGUAGGGGUAAAAUCCUGUAAUCCUAGGAGGACCACCAGUGGCGAAAGCGUCCAACUAGAACGGAUCCGACGGUAAGGGACGAAGCCCUGGGGCGCAAACGGGAUUAGAUACCCCGGUAGUCC